Molecule: long non-coding RNA, 409 nt
Organism: Cyprinus carpio (common carp)
Lineage: Eukaryota; Metazoa; Chordata; Actinopteri; Cypriniformes; Cyprinidae
Exons: 3
Source: RefSeq, a predicted model, not a curated record
GGUCUCUGCGGAGAUGGGAAAAACUCUGACGUUGCCAUGGACACCUGGCAGAGAGUUGGGCACUCAGGAUUCUUCUGGUGUCUGAUGGGCAGCGUUUAGCUCAAAUCCUCCAGAGAAGAGAUGUGUGUGUGUCUCUCUUUAAUGACCAGCUGAUACUGAAAUUAGCCAAAUUCAUCAGAGCUGGAGCGGCCUCUCCUCCAGACUCCUGACACCAACUGAUCAUUCAACUCAUUAAGCCAUUUAAACGACUGUGCAACAAACUCCAACUGAGUUUGACUUGAAUACUAGAGUUAAGAGCUCGACAGUACCAUACGCUUUCAUAUAAUACAGCACUCUGGACAUUCGGCCUCUGAUCUGCUUUUGUGUUCGCCAGAAGAAAGAAAGUCGUGCAGGUUUGGAAUGACAUGAG